GCGCCCGUAACUCAAUGGUGAGAGUACCCGCCUUAUAUGCGGUUAGUUGCAGGUUCGACUCCUGCCGGGCGCA
RNAcentral lists this transfer RNA (73 nucleotides) under Chloroflexota bacterium. RNAcentral describes it as "tRNA-Ile". It matches the Rfam family "tRNA". Rfam says of the family: Transfer RNA (tRNA) molecules are approximately 80 nucleotides in length. Their secondary structure includes four short double-helical elements and three loops (D, anti-codon, and T loops). Further hydrogen bonds mediate the characteristic L-shaped molecular structure. tRNAs have two regions of fundamental functional importance: the anti-codon, which is responsible for specific mRNA codon recognition, and the 3' end, to which the tRNAs corresponding amino acid is attached (by aminoacyl-tRNA synthetases). tRNAs cope with the degeneracy of the genetic code in two manners: having more than one tRNA (with a specific anti-codon) for a particular amino acid; and 'wobble' base-pairing, i.e. permitting non-standard base-pairing at the 3rd anti-codon position. Lineage: Bacteria; Bacillati; Chloroflexota. The record is from RNAcentral.